AGUGAAGAGUAUGCCUCCAAAAUUACUUAUGAUUAUAAGUUAUCUAUUUGGUCCAUAUUUCGGACCAACGUCUUCAUAAACAUAUAACUACACCAGGGACAGAUUUAUAAUAUUUGAAAAAUAAGGAGAAAUGUCAGCUUUAAAAAUUCUUCUUGUUGUUGGAUUGUUGCAUGGAGAAAGGGGUUUCUGUUUGAAUUUGACGAACCAUGAAAAUGAUAUUGGACACCUGAAGCAACUUAUCCAACAGCUUAAUGUUAGUCUUCAACACACUGUGAAUUAUGAAAUUGAUUAGCUGAAAAGGGAAACCAGUCUGCUGAAAACAAAAAUCAAUGCACAAAGUCUCAUAGCUUUCACGGCAAGACUAUCGCACGAUGUAGAAUUGCUGGGUGAACAGACAGUUGUGUUCGAUAAGAUAAUACUGAAUCUUGGAAACGCUUACCAUGAAAGUUAUGGACAUUUCACAGCUCCGGUAAGAGGUGUUUACCAGUUUGCUGUAUCGCUGUUAAACGAUGGAAAAGAAUCUUAUUUUGCUUUGAUGAGAAACGGAAACCAGCUGUUGUCAAUGCUUUAUAUAAGAAGUGGUACCUUCUAUUCUUCAUCGUCCAUUGUUAUCGUGCAAUUAGAAGCCGCUGAUGUUGUCUUUGUCAAGGCUACUACAACUGCAAACUUAGACGAGUCAUAUUACUGUAUUUUUAGUGGAUUUCUGAUUCAAUAACUAAAAAUAAAAUUCCAAGAAGUCUCAA
This is a long non-coding RNA of Saccostrea cuccullata (small rock oyster), 743 nucleotides long. RefSeq lists it as uncharacterized. The transcript has 2 exons. NCBI's taxonomy places the organism in Eukaryota, Metazoa, Mollusca, Bivalvia, Ostreida, Ostreidae. The record is from RefSeq and is a predicted model, not a curated record.